AGGGCACCACCAGGAGUGGAGCCUGCGGCUUAAUUUGACCCAACACGGGAAAUCUCACCAGGCCCGGACACUGGAAGGAUUGACAGAUUCAGAGCUCUUUCUCGAUUCGGUGGGUGGUGGUGCAUGGCCGUUCUUAGUUGGUGGAGUGAUUUGUCUGGUUAAUUCCGAUAACGAACGAGACUCUGUCCUGCUAAAUAGUUCCCGCGUCCUUUGUUGCGCGGGAAAUUCUUCUUAGAGGGACUGGCGGCGUCUAGCCGCACGAGAUUGAGCAAUAACAGGUCUGUGAUGCCCUUAGAUGUUCUAGGCCGCACGCGCGCUACACUGAAGGGAUCAGCGUGUCUUCCCUUCCCGAGAGGGACGGGUAACCCGCUGAACCCCCUUCGUGGUAGGGAUCGGGGCUUGCAAUUAUUCCCCGUGAGCCAGGAAUUCCCAGUAAGCGCAAGCCAUAAGCUUGCGUUGAUUACGUCCCUGCCCUUUGUACACACCGCCCGUCGCUACUACCGAUUGAACGUUUUAGUG
RNAcentral lists this ribosomal RNA (519 nucleotides) under uncultured eukaryote. Its description in RNAcentral is "SSU rRNA". It matches the Rfam family "Eukaryotic small subunit ribosomal RNA", at positions 1161 to 1703 of the family's 1831-position model. The record is from RNAcentral.